UUUACAUUCACCGCCAUCUUGGAAAUUUUACUUGUGCCGCAUUCUUAAAACUUUUCGUCGGCAGUUAGUAAGUUCAAGCAAGCAAGAUGCCUUCCGUUUGGCCCAAGAAUGUGAUGGCGUUGCACAAGCCAUACGUCAGACAGAUCGGCCCCUUCCUCUUCCCAUGUAUGCUGAUCACAGGAUACCUAAUGGCAAAAGCUACAAUGAUAGGAUAUAAAGAUCUAAAGAAGAAGGAGGCACUUGGUCAAUCCGGGCACCACUAGUACCACUAGAAUAGUUUACAAUUUAAGAGAAUGUCAUCUAGGAUUGCAGUACGGAAUUCAUGUUCAUCUCCUGACUGACCAUCAGCACAGAGUCCUUCAACAGACAUCUAAGAUCAAUCACCAGGUUCAUCUCAAGUGUUCCUCAAGACGUAAAACAUACCAAGCAAUCGGAACUGGAUGCAAGAUCACAUCAAUAUCUGGAGAGAACAAAAAUUAACAAUACUUAUGAAAUUAUUAAUGUUUUCACAUUAUGUGUAAAGGGCAGAUCAAGAUCCCUAUUUGGCAGUGUAGCUCAUACUUGCUAAGCACAGAAAAGUUUGUUUAGCAGACUCGGGUUAACCAAUUGUGUAGUGUGGCCUGUCUUCUGUUGACUGGUACUUUGGUAACUUUGCUAAGCAAUUUUUUGCGUUAAGCAGAAAUCUCUGAUUGUCAACUCUAUGACAAUGGAUCUGAUGUGGCAUUUAUGUUCAAGUUGACAAACUGUACAGGAUAUUGACAUGAAUUCCUGCUCUUAUUUUCGUCAAAUGUUUGAUUUGUAUGAGUUUUUAAUUUAAAACUGACUUGGUGUGGGUGCAUGAUUUGAGUUUAAUCCAUAAAAGAAAAUGAAAUAUCAACCGAAAAAUGGCUCCUGAAGUCAGAUGCAACUUUGACAAAGGCAUUUGUAUUAAUUGAUAAACAUGAUACAUACACAGCAACACACAGCUAUGUGUUGCUGUCACUCUGUGAACAAUCCUUUGUUCUGUUCAUGUAAGGUCAUUCAUACUGUUCAAUAUGGUAAAAGACCCACUGUGUGGGGGUGUGUAAGUCCACAUAGUGUUUCAAGACUCUUCAUUAUGUGGACCUGUUUUGUUUUCAGGUCCACACUUUUAAACAUGAUUGCACAAAACCAGAAGCAUACGAUUACAGUCUACAGUCUACAUUGUACAAUGUAUCCAUGCUUGGACUCUCAACAGGAACCUUUUGUUUUGAAGUUUUGCAUGAGUUGGAUGAUAAAUUUACUGUAUCCAUAUCAUAGAUUCUAUUAAAAUUGUUGAGUUGAGUGAUUA
This is a long non-coding RNA of Asterias rubens (European starfish), 1309 nucleotides long. RefSeq lists it as uncharacterized. The record is from RefSeq and is a predicted model, not a curated record. Lineage: Eukaryota; Metazoa; Echinodermata; Asteroidea; Forcipulatida; Asteriidae. The transcript is spliced from 4 exons.